This 389-nucleotide ribosomal RNA is filed under the name Stramenopiles sp. MAST-1C. RNAcentral's name for it is "partial small subunit ribosomal RNA". It matches the Rfam family "Eukaryotic small subunit ribosomal RNA", at positions 582 to 975 of the family's 1831-position model. The record is from RNAcentral.
AUUCCAGCUCCAAUAGCGUAUAUUAAUGUUGUUGCAGUUAAAAAGCUCGUAGUUGGAUUUCUGGUGGGAGCGGCCGGUCCGCCGUAAGGUGUGUACUUGGUUGUCUCCUGUCAUCCUUGUGGGAACUGCUCUGGCAUUAAGUUGUCGGGGUUAGGGAACACAUCGUUUACUGUGAAAAAAUUAGAGUGUUUAAAGCAGGCUUAUGCCGUUGAAUACAUUAGCAUGGAAUAAUAAGAUAGGACUUUGGCGUCUAUUUUGUUGGUUUGCACACCAAGGUAAUGAUUAAUAGGGAUAGUUGGGGGUAUUCGUAUUUAAUUGUCAGAGGUGAAAUUCUUGGAUUUAUGAAAGACGAACUUCUGCGAAAGCAUUUACCAAAGAUGUUUUCAUUA